Molecule: ribosomal RNA, 448 nt
Filed under: uncultured bacterium
Lineage: Bacteria
Description: bacterial SSU rRNA
Rfam family: Bacterial small subunit ribosomal RNA
Source: RNAcentral
UCGGGAAUUUUGGGCAAUGGGCGAAAGCCUGACCCAGCAACGCCGCGUGAAGGAUGAAGUAUUUCGGUAUGUAAACUUCGAAAGAAUAGGAAGAAUAAAUGACGGUACUAUUUAUAAGGUCCGGCUAACUACGUGCCAGCAGCCGCGGUAAUACGUAGGGACCAAGCGUUGUUCGGAUUUACUGGGCGUAAAGGGCGCGUAGGCGGCAAUUCAAGUCAUCUGUGAAAUCUCCGGGCUUAACUCGGAACGGUCAGAUGAUACUGCUUUGCUAGAGUGCAGAAGGGGCAAUCGGAAUUCUUGGUGUAGCGGUGAAAUGCGUAGAUAUCAAGAGGAACACCUGAGGCGAAGGCGGCAUCCUGGACCGGUAUUGACGCUGAGUGAGCGAAAGCCAGGGGAGCAAACGGGAUUAGAUACCCCCGUAGUCCCUGAGCGGGCUGGCAAGGCGCAU